This is a long non-coding RNA of Oncorhynchus kisutch (coho salmon), 2625 nucleotides long. RefSeq lists it as uncharacterized. The transcript is spliced from 2 exons. NCBI's taxonomy places the organism in Eukaryota, Metazoa, Chordata, Actinopteri, Salmoniformes, Salmonidae. The record is from RefSeq and is a predicted model, not a curated record.
AGUUGGUAUUGUUCUUGUGUAUCAGUGUUCUGCCUCAUGUUCGUGGCGUGUUCUUGGUUUUGUUAAAAUGGUUCACCCGUACUUGCUUCUGACUCACCGCCCCGUCAAUACAGAAUACCAAACUCAAGCAGCAGGACAAAUGGACAUCUCCCAGACAAUCAAUGAACAAGGUGCUCUUCUUCAUCAACACCAUAAUCAGUUGGCUCAACUGGGGACGGCAAUGGAAGAGGUUCUCUGCAGUCUACAACAUCUCGACAGCGGAGCAUAUUCUAGAGCCAGUCUAACCAACGAGUCAGCACACCAGCCCAUUCAGCAACCCGCUCAGGUCAGCGAUGCCCGUCUAUCCCUCCAGGAGAAAUAUGAAUGGGCACUAUCUAAAUGCUGUGGCUUCCUCCUUCAGUGCUCCCUCUAUUUCGCACAUCUAAUGGGAGCUCCCACCACAGAGGUCUAAGGUUGCCACAGAUAUUUCUCUGCUGACUGGGCAGGCAUUGGAAUAGGCUACGGCCGUUUUGGGAGAGAGGAGCUUGAGUCUUGUGAGGGGUUCAUUUAAAUGUAUUUUUUAUCCUUCUGCGGAGGGCUGCUUCAGCUCCAGCAGGGGGACCAGACGGCUGCUGAGUAUGUGCUUACCUUCCGGACAAUAGCAGCUUCCAGGGGAUGGAAUGAGCCGGUCCAGAUGGAACUGGCCUGCCGAGAUGACAACCUCACCCUGGACACACACAUUGCGAUGGCCAUUUGUCUGGAUAACCUUAGGGACCGUCGGCAUCUACAUCCCUUCUCUCCCACCUUUGGCGAGUGUUCGCGAUCAAAGCCUGAACCCAUGGAGGUAGGGGUCACGUCUUCCCGCGGCGGAAUGACACAGACGGAUGCAGCUGGGACUCUGUCUAUACUGUGGCCAGGGAGGGCACAAGCGCCAGUGUUGUCCGUUACCUCAGAAUCCAGGAUCCACUGGAGCAGCGGGACGGUCAUGUGAUGUUACAUCCCCUGGACCAGGAGUUCAAGGUCUUGACUGUUGGCCUCUAGGAUCUGGAACCAUCACACACAUCACCCAACUACUCACCCUCACCAUGGAGCCCAAUCACCAGGAAAACAUCCCCUUCAUCACCAGUUCACAAGAUCAUCAUCGGCCUACCUUGGCUUCAGCGCCAUAACUCUACCAUCUCAUGGUCGAGGAUGAGAAUCACAGACUGGUCACCUGAAUGCCUGAGAACCUGCUUUCCUGUCCCCUGUGGUUCCACGUCGGUUGAGAGUCCGGUGGUUUCACUCCAGCCCAACAUCCCAGAGGAAUAUCAGGAUCUAAGGGAGGUGUUCUCCAAGACCCGCGCUACCUGUCUCCCUCCUCAUCGGCCCUGGGACUGUGGCAUUGACCUGUUUUCCAGUGCUACACCUCCGUGCAGCCUCAUCUACCCUCUGUAAGUGGCUGAGACCCAGGCCAUGGAGGACUACAUACAAGAGGCGCUCCAAAAGGGUUUUAUCCGCAGGUCCACGUCGGCUGGUUUCUUCUUCGUGGCCAAGGAGGGAUGAUUACGUCCUUGUCAUUGAGUCCACGGUAAUCGAUACAUCACCACAAAGUAUCAGUACCCUCUCCCGGUGGUGCCGUCAGCCAUCGAGCAGCUCCGCAAGGCCUGGUUCUUCACCAAACUGUACCUGCAGAGUGCCUACAAUCCCAUUCGCAUCCGGGAGGGGGAUGAGUGGAAGACAGCAUUCAGCACGAUGUCUGGUCAUUACGAGUACUUAGUUAUGCCCUUUGGCUUAGCCAAUUCUCUGUCAGUGUCCCAGGCAGCCAUCAACAAGGUCUUCAGGGACAUGCUCGGACAUCAUGUGAUUGUGUACAUCUGACAUCCUGAUAUUCUCGACCACCCUGGAGGAUCACAUCACUCAAUGUUUGAGCAGUCCUGGAAUGCCUCUUGGCUAACCAUCUGUUCAUCAAGGUGGAGAAGUGCCAAUUCCACCAGAGGGAACCAGAGUCUCCUUCUUGGGCUACCAAAUCAGCCUCCAGGGAGUGAAGUUGGACAAGGAAGUAGAUGCAGUAAGGUCAUGGCCAGUCCCAACCACCAUCAAGGGGUUACAACGGUUUUUGGGGUUUGCCAACUUUUAACGACGCUUCAUCAGGAACUUCAGUGUCGUCGCCGCCACUAUCACCUCCCUCCAAGGGUGGGCCUCGUAGGUUGGUUUGGUCUCCAGCAGCCGACAAGGCCUUUCGUCUCAAGGUGCGUUUCACCUCCACCCUAUUGCUAAAACACCCAGACCAUACUUUACCUUUUGUGGUUGAGGUAGAUGCAUUGGCGGUGGGUGUUGGGGCAGUAUUGUCACAAAGACAGGGGGACCCACUAAAAUUGUAUCCUUGUGGUUUCCUCUCCAAGAAACUGUCCCCCGCAGAGGAAUUAUGACGUCGGUAAUGAUUGUCACGUCUGCUCCUGCUCCUCCCCUCCGGCAUACGUCGUCGCCAGAGUACUAACCACCGGUCCUGGGAUUCAUCAUUAUGGGCACCUGGCACUCAUCAUUAACCAGGACUCCAUUACAUUCAUAAUUUCCUCCCAUAUGUCAGUCUCCCCUUUUCACUCACCAGUGUAUCGGCGUUCUGUCUAUUGUUGGUUUUGUUUUAUUAAAACGUUUCACCUGCACUUG